UAGGAAUCUUCCACAAUGGACGCAAGUCUGAUGGAGCAACGCCGCGUGAGUGAAGAAGGUUUUCGGACCGUAAAGCUCUGUUGUUGGUGAAGAAGGAUAGAGGUAGUAACUGGCCUUUAUUUGACGGUAAUCAACCAGAAAGUCACGGCUAACUACGUGCCAGCAGCCGCGGUAAUCGUAGGUGGCAAGCGUUGUCCGGAUUUAUUGGGCGUAAAGCGAGCGCAGGCGGAAGAAUAAGUCUGAUGUGAAAGCCCUCGGCUUAACCGAGGAAUUGCAUCGGAAACUGUU
This 288-nucleotide ribosomal RNA is filed under the name uncultured bacterium. RNAcentral's name for it is "partial 16S ribosomal RNA". It matches the Rfam family "Bacterial small subunit ribosomal RNA", at positions 356 to 637 of the family's 1533-position model. The record is from RNAcentral.